This 5221-nucleotide ribosomal RNA is filed under the name Colletotrichum gloeosporioides. Its description in RNAcentral is "large subunit ribosomal RNA". The stretch from base 1 to 2603 matches the Rfam family "Bacterial large subunit ribosomal RNA". Lineage: Eukaryota; Fungi; Ascomycota; Sordariomycetes; Glomerellales; Glomerellaceae. The record is from RNAcentral.
AGAGAAGUUUUUUAGUAAACGAAGUGAAUUGAAAUAUCUUAGUAACUUCAGGAAAAGAAAUCAAAAGAGAUUCUAUGAUUAGCGUGAGUGAAAAUAGAGUAGCCUACUAACAUUAAGUAAAAUGGUUAAAAAACUGUUUGAAUUAAAUGGGGAACCUUCCUCAAAGGCUAAAUAUAAUACAUAAGCGACAGUGAAAAGUAUCAUGAGAGAAAGAUUGUAAUUAGUAGUUUUAUAAGCAGUUCGAGCCAAAUAAAUAAGUGAGAACGUACCUUUUGCAUAAUGGGUCACCUAGUUAACAUUAGAUGCGAGUGAAAGCGUAGGUAAACCAAUCGUUAAAAUAACGAAUAGUGUCUAAAGUUAGACCCGAAGCCUGGUGAUUUUACCAUAAUCAGGAUUAUAAAAGUCCGAACGGGUUAUCGUUGUAAAGAUAUCCGAGGAAUUAUGGUAGGUAGUGAAAGACAACACUGACUAGGAUAGCUGGUUUUCUGCGAAACCUAUAACAGUAGGCAAUUUGAGUAACAUCUUAGCAGGUACAGAAUUUAAUCUCAGACAAGAUGUUUAAAUUUUAGUGGUUAUAGCCAUUAAAACAACAUGUUGAUUUGUAUAUAUCGGGGGAUCGUGAAGAUUUUAUCGGUGAGUAUGUAGACUCGGAAUGGCAAAGAUGGAUCUUGAAUUAUCGGACAUAGAAUGAUAAGGUUGUAUGUCAAAAGGGAAACAGCCCAGAACAAGAGUUAAGGUUCCAAAAUUAUUAGUUAAGUGAAAUUAAGAAGGUUUUUAUUAAAGUCGACAAGGAGAUGGGCUUAGAAGCAGCCAAAUUUUGAAGACCUCGUAACAGAGCGCUUGUUAAGUUUUAAAAGCAUCGAAAAUUUAACGGAUCUAAACAAUAUACCGAAACCUUGUCCAUAUUUUACUAUAUAUAUUUAUUGUAUAGUAAUUUUGUGGGGUAGCAGAACGUUGAAUUAAAUUAAGAUAUUUCUUCAGCGAAGAAAUAUAUGAUAAUCAAUUCAAGUGAGAAUGGUGACAUGAGUAACGAAUAAGAAGGAAGGUUCCCGAUUCCCCCUCUUAGCUUAAGAUUAUUUAACUAGGAGGCGAGCAGGUGAAUUCAGAUCCUCCGCCUAAAGCUUAUGGACUAGCAAGGAGCUUGAAAGUAACGGCCUCUAAGUAAUAGACCUAAAGGUUUAAACGAUGAGAAAAUCUAAAUUACUAAAUGACAACAUUUUGGUCCCCCUCCUUUUGAGGAGGUGCUAGGGGGAAUAAGUGAAAAGUGUUCUGGAAAAAAUAGUAAUAAUGAUAUUUUUAUUUAGUAAAUACAACAAACUAAAACAGAUGAGUUUAGAAAGAUAUAAAAUAUUAUACCGUACCUAGAAUCUGAAACAAGUAAGCUAGUAGAGAAUACGAAGGCGUAAAUGAGCUAACAAUCAUAAAGGAACUCGGCAAAUUAACUACCGUAACUUCGGGAUAAGGAGGGCUCAUUAGUCCUGAUGAAUAUCGGGUAAAAAGGAAGAAGCAUAAAAUAAUGUUGUACGACUGUUUAAUUAAAACAAAGCACUCCGCAAAAAGAUUAAAAAUCGAUGUAUUGAGUGUGAUGUCUGCCCGAUCCCGGCUGGUUAACGGAUUUAACUAAAUUAUUAAAAAAUUUGGUGUUGAAGGAACCCCCGGUUAAUGGCGGCCUUAACGUGAGGGUCCUAAGGUAGCGAAAUGCCUUGGCCGUUAAAUGCGGUCUUGCAUGAAUGAUGUAACGAUACAACAGCUGUCUCUAUGAUUGACUCAGUGAAAUUGGAAUAACUGUGCAGAUACAGUUUACCUCUAGUUAGACGAGAAGACCCUAUGCAGCUUUACUGUUACUAAUUAUUGGGUAUGAUGAAUUAAUUUUCAGAUUAUAAGGUAAAUUGGUUAAUAAAAAUGAAAAUCCUUUAUUUUCGCAUCAUACUUCAGAGUCUCUUGCUUGUUGAAUACUAAUUCAGUGGGCGCUUCUGGCUUCAGUGGGCGCUUCUGGCGCCAAUACAGAAGCCCAAAUGAGAGAUAGCCUCAGUUCUGACUUUUAAGUAGCCUUAGAAAGGAAUAUAUGGUUAGGAGACAGUUUAUGUGGGGCACAGACCCCUUAAAGAGUAAAAGGGAGUGUCUAAAAAUUAUUUGUUAUAGGCACAAGCUUGGCUUCGCUUAGCUUGGCCGUAACGUUGUUUGUGGUUUUAUGUAGUUUUACUAUAUUUAAUCUUCUAAAAUUAUUUCUAUCUACCCUCGCUGUAGAUACGAAUGGAUAUUUAGGUACGUUUUUCACUAUAGUGAAAAUAGCGGUAUAAUAAAAAAUAUUAUGAAUAAAUUUUCUAAUGUUUUUUGAGUUAUUAAGAGAUUUCUUAAUAGUCAUGAUAAAUACCUGAAAAGCUCAACGGCUAAUUCGUGCCAUACUGUUUGAUUAACAACAAAUCUUACAGUUGCGUAAGCAGGGCAUAGGAUCACAAGAUGCAAAAAGGAAAGAUCUUGGAUUAUUGGAAAAGCUACGCUAGGGAUGUUUGUCCUUCAAUAUUUUAAGCUAUCUUUGGCUGCGACUACCAUCUCGCCUGCUACCGCGAACCCCAUUCCCAUACCCCCUGACCCCCGUCCCUAUAAGGGAAUGGGGUAUGGGGUAUGGGGAAAACAAGGGGGGAGAGGGGGUAUGAAUGGAAUGGAGAUGGUAGGGACCAAGAGAGCUAAAAUUAUUGAUAAUAUAUUGGGUUAAUUUCAAGAAUUACUUAGAUAAGUAAAUUUGAAGCGAAAUUUAUCUUGGCAUAAUUAUAUAAGAUAAAAUCGUUCAACGACUAUAAGGUGAGUUAUGCUAACAAUAAUCCUUUUUAACACCCAACAUUUUUAUUACCAUACACUUAUAAAAAAAGAUAAAAAAAAAAGAUAAAAUUUAUUUACAUGAAGGCUAAAGCUUUAAAAACAAAGGUUGGCAGUUCUCCUAAUAAAAUUAGGCGGGGCAUACUUAGCGAAUCCGCCCAUAUUUUUCGUUCUAAUUUAAAUAAUAAUUUUAAAUUAACACCUUUUAAUACUAAAUUUAAUGAUAAUGGUCAUGUUAGAUACUUACCUCCUGUAUCUAAAGAAUGAAAAAAUACUAUAUAUGCAUAUUAUAAACAAAAUAUGCAAAAUUUACCUAUAGAUAGCAAAAAUGCAAAUAAAGUAUUAGAAAGUUAUUUUAAUUUACAUUUUGCCAAUAAUAGAUUUAUAGGAUCAAAAUUCAUAUCUCCAAAAACAAGAAGUUUAUUAUUACAUAAAAUUUAUGUAAGUAAAAUGGAAACAAAACAUACAAAUUCGAAAACUAUAAUAACUUUAUAUACUAUAAAUACUGAAAAAAAUAAUGUAUAUAAUAAUUAUCUAGGUUAUAAUAAAUUUUGAGAAAACCAAAUAUUAAAAUCAUUUAAAAAGGGAUUAAAGCAAAAAAUUAAGGAGGGCUUUAUUACAUAUCCUGUCCUGAACCCCAUAACCCCUUCGGGGUUCGAGAGCAAUGGAACGGGGGGCUUCGCCAUACUUCGUAAUGAAAAAAAACUUCUAGUUUCUAAAUAUAAAUAUUUAACUGAAUCUUUACCAUGUUUUAAUAUAUAUUUAAGAUUAUAUUUAAGUAGACAUUUUAAAAAUUCAUACCUUGAUAAAUUAGAUUUAUUAAGAAAAUACCAAUUAAACUAUUACCUUAAUAAAUUCAAAUUUGAAAAAAAUACUUAUUUACAUAAAUUAAGUAAUAUGUUAUCUAGAGUAUUUAAUAAUAAUAUAGAAUUUAAUAUAGUAAACUUAAAAUCUGUUGCUUUUAGUCCUGAUAUAUUUACUGAUAUAUUAAGUUUAAAAAUUAGAAAACCUAAUGUUUCUAAUUUUGUAGGUGUAAUGAAUAGUUUAUUAAAAGUAUCCAAAUUACCUGAAGUUAAUAGAAUACAGGAAAAGGCUAGUUUUUUUAAAUCUAAAGAUUACGCUUUACUUGAAAAUAUUUACCCAAAUUUAAGUAUAAUUUCGUGCUUACAGGUACUAAAUAAUUACGGGCUCCUGUCGGAUAGUUUAGUAAGAGAGGAUUCCGGUUGCUAUUUAAAUUUUUUAUUAGCAAAAAAAUCUUUAAUAGAUGAAGACUCUAUUUUAGGUAUUAAUCCUGAAUUUUCCUUGCCUGAAGGAUAUGAAUACUUCAGUGACUUAUACGAAAGAGAAAAAGAAGAGUAUAUAAGAAGCAAUAUCUCUAAUAAAAUAUUUAAUUCUAUUAAAUAUAAAAAUUUAGGAGGUAUAAGAUUAGAACUUAAAGGAAGAUUAACUAAACGUAAUAGAGCAGAUAGAUCUCAAUUUAAAUUUAAAUGAAAAGGAGGAUUAAAAAAUAUAGAUUCUUCUUAUAAAAAAUUACCUACAGUUACAUAUAGAGGUUAUUAUAAACCUAGUGUAAUUUCGGCUUUAUCUCAAUCCAAACGUGCUGUAGGAUCUUUUGCGGUAAAAGGUUGAAUAAGUGGAAAAUAAGUAUAUUUGAGCUAAAGAACUAUAUAAGUUAUGGGGUGCGAGCAGCCGACUUCGUCGUAGUCGAGCGACUACGACGUCGUAUGCUCGCUCUAAUAAAAAUGAAGACAUAGUCUGAACCAUUUUGUGAAAAAUGGAAAUAAAAUUUAUUAUGAUAACAUGUAGAACAGGCUAAUUUGCGCAAGAGUGUACAAAAUGAGUGCGCGGUUUGGCACCUCGAUGUCGGCUUAACUUAUCCUCAUGGAUGCAGAAACUAUGUAGGGUACGACUGUUCGUCGAUUAAAAAGUUACAUGAGCUGGGUUAAAUACGUCGUGAGACAGUAUGGUUUCUAUCUUCUAGAGGGAAUUUGAAUAAAAUAAGGAUUAACCUUUGUACGAAAGGAACAGGAAAAACUUAGCCCCUCCAUUUCCGACUACUGCGUAGCCAGGAACGAAGGUGGGAUUAAAGUUAGGUUAUAUUAAUUGUUAACCUCUGGUUUACCUGUUGUUUAUAAGCCGAAUAUUUCAUUAAGUCGGGGUUCUCAAUAAACUAAAAAAGAUGAGAGUUCUCAUAGCUUAACCGACUUAAUUACGGGGGAGUACUCAAAACCUGAGAGAUGUCCCUAUCUUAAACGCGGAUGUUACUUUCACUUAAGUAAAUAUAUAUUAUAGGCACGGCAGGAAAGCUAAGUUAGUUAAAGAUAAGUGCUGAAAGCAUAUAGGCACGAAGCUUACCUUAAGAUAUUUCUAAUUCACGUAAUAUAAUAUUACGGUAUAGUAUUAU